UUGAUCCUGGCUCAGGACGAACGCUGGCGGCGUGCCUAACACAUGCAAGUCGAGCGGGAUUUACCGGUUUAGUUUACUAAGUUGGUGAAUUCAGCGGCGGACGGGUGAGUAACGCGUGAGCAAUCUGCCUUGUACAGGGGGAUAACAGCCGGAAACGGCUGCUAAUACCGCAUAAGGCCACAGUACCGCAUGGUACAGGGGUCAAAGGAGAGAUCCGGUAUAAGAUGAGCUCGCGUUCCAUUAGCUGGUUGGUGAGGUAACGGCCCACCAAGGCAACGAUGGGUAGCCGGCCUGAGAGGGUGAACGGCCACAUUGGGACUGAGACACGGCCCAAACUCCUACGGGAGGCAGCAGUGGGGGAUAUUGCGCAAUGGGGGAAACCCUGACGCAGCAACGCCGCGUGAGUGAAGGAGGCCUUCGGGUCGUAAAACUCUGUGACAGGGGAAGAGAGUGACGGUACCCUGAGGAGGAAGCCCCGGCUAACUACGUGCCAGCAGCCGCGGUAACACGUAGGGGGCAAGCGUUGUCCGGAAUUACUGGGCGUAAAGGGUGCGUAGGCGGCCGAGCAAGUCCGAUGUGAAAGACCACGGCUAAACUGUGGGGGUGCAUAGGAAACUGUCCGGCUUGAGUGCAGGAGAGGAAAGUGGAAUUCCUAGUGUAGCGGUGAAAUGCGUAGAGAUUAGGAAGAACACCAGUGGCGAAGGCGACUUUCUGGACUGUAACUGACGCUGAGGCACGAAAGCGUGGGGAGCGAACAGGAUUAGAUACCCUGGUAGUCCACGCCGUAAACGAUGGAUACUAGGUUGUUAGGGGGGUAUCGACCCCCCCCUGUGCCGGAGUUAACGCAAUAAGUAUCCCGCCUGGGGAGUACGGCCGCAAGGUUGAAACUCAAAGGAAUUGACGGGGGCCCGCACAAGCAGCGGAGCAUGUGGUUUAAUUCGAAGCAACGCGAAGAACCUUACCAGGGCUUGACAUCCCUCCGACGGGCAUAGAGAUAUGCCGUUUCAGCAAUGGACGGGGGAGACAGGUGGUGCAUGUGUCGUCAGCUCGUGUCGUGAGAUGUUGGGUUAAGUUCCCGCAACGAGCGCAACCCUUAUCAACAGUUACCAGCAAGUAAAGUUGGGGACUCUGAAGAGACUGCCGGGGAGAACUCGGAGGAAGGUGGGGAAUGAACCGUCCAAUCAUCAUGCCCCUUAUGUCCUGGGCUACACACGUGCUACAAUGGCCUGAAACAAAGGGAAGCGAAGGCGCAAGCCGGAGCGGAACCCAGAAAGCAGGUCUCAGUUCGGAUUGUGGGCUGCAACCCGCCCACAUGAAGUCGGAGUUGCUAGUAAUCGCGAAUCAGCAUGUCGCGGUGAGUGCGUUCCCGGGCCUUGUACACACCGCCCGUCACAC
Molecule: ribosomal RNA, 1395 nt
Filed under: uncultured Caldicoprobacter sp.
Lineage: Bacteria; Bacillati; Bacillota; Clostridia; Caldicoprobacterales; Caldicoprobacteraceae
Description: bacterial SSU rRNA
Rfam family: Bacterial small subunit ribosomal RNA
Source: RNAcentral